AUUGAACGCUGGCGGCAUGCUUUACACAUGCAAGUCGAACGGCAGCGCGGGGGCAACCCUGGCGGCGAGUGGCGAACGGGUGAGUAAUGCAUCGGAACGUAUCCUGUAAUGGGGGGAUAACGUAGCGAAAGUUACGCUAAUACCGCAUACGCUCGAGAGAGGAAAGUGGGGGAUCGCAAGACCUCACGUUAUAGGAGCGGCCGAUGUCCGAUUAGCUAGUUGGUGGGGUAAAGGCCUACCAAGGCGACGAUCGGUAGCUGGUCUGAGAGGAUGAUCAGCCACACUGGGACUGAGACACGGCCCAGACUCCUACGGGAGGCAGCAGUGGGGAAUUUUGGACAAUGGGCGAAAGCCUGAUCCAGCCAUGCCGCGUGCGGGAAGAAGGGCCCUUCGGGUUGGUUAAACCGGACC
Molecule: ribosomal RNA, 411 nt
Filed under: uncultured bacterium
Lineage: Bacteria
Description: bacterial SSU rRNA
Rfam family: Bacterial small subunit ribosomal RNA
Source: RNAcentral